This 252-nucleotide ribosomal RNA is filed under the name uncultured bacterium. Its description in RNAcentral is "partial 16S ribosomal RNA". It matches the Rfam family "Bacterial small subunit ribosomal RNA", at positions 524 to 776 of the family's 1533-position model. The record is from RNAcentral.
UACGUAGGUCCCGAGCGUUGUCCGGAUUUAUUGGGCGUAAAGCGAGCGCAGGUGGUUUAUUAAGUCUGGUGUAAAAGGCAGUAGCUCAACCAUUGUAUGCAUUGGAAACUGGUAGACUUGAGUGCAGGAGAGGAGAGUGGGAUUCCAUGUGUAGCGGUGAAAUGCGUAGAUAUAUGGAGGAACACCGGUGGCGAAAGCGGCUCUCUGGUCUGUAACUGACGCUGAGGUUCGAAAGCGUGGGUAGCAAACAGG